RNAcentral lists this ribosomal RNA (118 nucleotides) under Alloionema sp. VP-2015. RNAcentral describes it as "partial 18S ribosomal RNA". It matches the Rfam family "Eukaryotic small subunit ribosomal RNA", at positions 1700 to 1831 of the family's 1831-position model. The record is from RNAcentral. Lineage: Eukaryota; Metazoa; Nematoda; Chromadorea; Rhabditida; Alloionematidae.
CGAGAAGACUGGGGACUGUUUCUUUAGGGAAAUGGAAACCAGUUUAAUCGCUAUUGUUUGAACCGGGCAAAAGUCGUAACAAGGUUUUCGUAGGUGAACCUGCGAAAGGAUCAUUAUG